GGAGUAUGUGGUUUAAUUCGAUGCAACGCGAAGAACCUUACCUGGUCUUGACAUCCCGGAGACCCUUAGGAACUAGGGGUGCUUCCAUCUGGAAGAAUCUGGAGACAGGUGCUGCAUGGCUGUCGUCAGCUCGUGUCGUGAGAUGUUGGGUUAAGUCCCGCAACGAGCGCAACCCUUGCCUUUAGUUGCCAGCAGUUCGGCUGGGCACUCUAAAGGGACUGCCGGUGUUAAACCGGAGGAAGGUGGGGAUGACGUCAAGUCCUCAUGGCCUUUAUGACCAGGGCUACACACGUACUACAAUGGCCGAUACAAAGGGCAGCGACACUGCGAGGUGAAGCCAAUCCCGUAAAAUCGGUCUCAGUCCGGAUUGGAGUCUGCAACUCGACUCCAUGAAGUUGGAAUCGCUAGUAAUCGUGGAUCAGCAUGCCACGGUGAAUACGUUCCCGGGCCUU
RNAcentral lists this ribosomal RNA (452 nucleotides) under uncultured Desulfobulbus sp. RNAcentral's name for it is "bacterial SSU rRNA". It matches the Rfam family "Bacterial small subunit ribosomal RNA", at positions 934 to 1382 of the family's 1533-position model. Lineage: Bacteria; Pseudomonadati; Thermodesulfobacteriota; Desulfobulbia; Desulfobulbales; Desulfobulbaceae. The record is from RNAcentral.